Molecule: ribosomal RNA, 473 nt
Filed under: uncultured bacterium
Lineage: Bacteria
Description: SSU rRNA
Rfam family: Bacterial small subunit ribosomal RNA
Source: RNAcentral
AGGACGAACGCUGGCGGCGUGCUUAACACAUGCAAGUCGAGCGAGAACCAGGGCUUCGGCCCUGGGGACAGCGGCGAACGGGUGAGUAACACGUGAGCAACCUGCCCCGAAGACUGGGAUAACACCGGGAAACCGGUGCUAAUACCGGAUAUCCCCACGAGACCGCAUGAUCUUGUGAGGAAAUGAAUUUCGCUUUGGGAGGGGCUCGCGGGCUAUCAGCUUGUUGGUGGGGUAACGGCUCACCAAGGCGACGACGGCUAGCUGGUCUGAGAGGACGACCAGCCACACUGGGACUGAGACACGGCCCAGACUCCUACGGGAGGCAGCAGUGGGGAAUCUUGCGCAAUGGGCGAAAGCCUGACGCAGCAACGCCGCGUGGGGAUGAAGGCCUUCGGGUUGUAAACCCCUUUCAGCAGGGACGAAGUUGACGGUACCUGCAGAAGACGCCCGGCCAACUACGUGCCAGCAGCCGC